GCCGUAACUCGCAGGCGCGGAGAUACCUGGGAAAAGGCAGCCUCCUCACGCCGGCCUGCGAAUGCUUCGGAAUAUUGCACGUUUGUCUGGCGCGGGUAAGCUUUGUCGUGAGCUCGCCUGCGUUUUUCCUUUGGCUUCUCCUUCUCGUGAGAUUGCUGCCCGGACUUGGCUUCUAGGUCUCUGAGCCCAGGUUUCUCUUCCGGAAGCUGCUGGAAGGAUCCGGAGCUCCCUUGCGCUGGGGCAGGCAGGAGGCGGGGUCAGCGAAGCCACGGCCACGCGUUCGGGACGUUUUGGUGGUAAAGAUAAUAGUAAACUUGUUUGCGUGACAUUUCACUAUUUGGGUGGUCGCUCAGUAACUGUCGAACCAAGUGGGUAGGGUAGGAUGAUUUAAGCUGAUGUACAGAUGUGGGAAAUGAGGUUAGGAAAGGUUAAAUGACUUGGGUAGGGUCACUUAGCAAGCUAGCGGCAAAAGACGGAAUCUCCCUAUUUGGUGUGGUUUAUCUUACAAACAGCUGACUUGCUUUUUUUUUUUUUCUGUUACAUUCAGCAGGCGAUUAACCAUAGCAUGCUUCGUAAGCUGUCGUUUAUUUAGAUUUCUUCUCCAUUUUAGCGAUAUUAAGGACAACCUGGUUUCUAGUACCGGUUCUGCCACUAAUUUUUGUAACCUCGGGGGCUGGUCUAGGUGACGGUGAAAGAUUGCUAUGAGAAAACAUGAAAAUCUUUUACUUUGCUUUCUUCUUUCACAAUCAUGUUUUCUCCAGACACUAAAGUGUUCUCAAGUAUAACUUUCUGAGAAAUAGUGGAGUUUUAACUCCUCAGCUUUUAAAAGUAAACCCAGCCAGAUCUCCUUUAUAUUUUUAUCAAAAGUGGAUGAAAAUUAUUUGUUUGAUGUCUACUUGUACCUUCUAAAGCAUCAAAGGAAACUCACAAAAUCUUUUAGCCUGUUUUUAAAAAUUGUUUUUAAUCACACAUACUGCCAAAACCCAUAAAAUAGUUUAAAAGGGGGGGGGGCAAUAAUGAAAAGUAACAAUUCUCUUUCUUCUACUUCAGAUUGGAUUGACAGUCACUUUCAACUUCUGGGAGCUGUUUGUUACAGUAGUUAGCUUCAUGUAGUAUGUGAAGGUGUAAACAGUAUGUCUCUCUCCGCCCCCUCACUUUUGCCAUUUUAAAAAUUAUCCAUUUAAAACUAUGGAGAAUAUGCUGUAAUAGGAUUUAGCUUUGUCUCACACCAUCCCCAACCCUCAUUUGCCAUACUCCCUAUAUAUUUCUAUUCGUGCUUUAGUUAAAUCAAGUGAUAUGUACAUAUUAUGAUGAAAAUACUAUUCACUCUGGAUAGAAUCUUUUCAAGGAUGCUGUGCUAAGUUAUUGCUUUGCUUCCCAUUUUUUUUUGUACACAGAUCUGAAGAUCUUUCCUGGAUGUGGACUAUAAUUUUUCAAAACCACUGUGUGGCAGAAGCACUGAAUACAUUUGUUGAAAAAUGUUUGGGAGAUUGACUCUUCCACAACUGCUUUUUGCUAGCAUCCUUGGAAUUGCUGGAGGAAUGUAUAUUUAUCAACCAAUAUUUGAACAGUACUACCGAGAUAAGAUGGAAUUUAAAAAAAAGUUGAAAUUGACACAAGAAUCAGAAGAGAAGAAAAGUUAAUACUGCAUGGAGUUGAACUGCAAUUGUUUAAAGUUCUAUUGAAAUUAUACACUGACUACAAAUAAUGUAGUAAGAACUUCUCAAAUAUAUUUUAAACAUAAAUAAAUCAUAGGCCAUGAUUUUAAAACAAACA
This 1776-nucleotide long non-coding RNA is filed under the name Lynx pardinus (Iberian lynx). Lineage: Eukaryota; Metazoa; Chordata; Mammalia; Carnivora; Felidae. The record is from RNAcentral.